GCCGAGGCCCCUGAGCGCCAUGCAACAAGUUGGGGGGGGGGGCACCUCGUGCUUCCUCUGGGCGCGGGGCAGACCUGGUGGCCCCUGCAGACCGCCUUUUCACUGGGCUCUCGGCGCCUGCGGGCCCUGAAGAUGCGCCGGCCCGGGCUGUGGGAGCAGUGCGACUUCUGGGCAUGGCCCUGGACCCGCAGUGGAACACCAUCCCGACCCACGUGUGCACAGCCAGGCCUGAGAACCCCCUGCCUCGCCGGCGUUGGGACGGGGCCUCGGGUGGAGUAGGGGGCAGCAGGAGGACAAUCUGGGGAUUGGGAUGGGGUCACACUUCAGGACAGCAGAGCUCGAAGCCCCAAGAGGGCUCCCUGGAAGAGGUGCUGGGAAUGGGAAGGGUGCGGUGUGUGAGGGACAGGAGACAGGGCUGGAAACAGGUCCAGGAGUAGGGGACAGAUAGGCCAGGAUGGGCUCGUGCAAACCCCCACCUCACCCCCCCCAGCAGCCCAGCCAGGAGACCCUGUGAGCCCCUGUGCAGCCAGCUGCUCAGCCUGCCUGGGGGCUCGGCCGGCCUCCCACCUGCUCUCCUGUCCGUCGCCCAGCCUGUGCCUUCCAGCAAGUGACAUCUCUGAGUGGCAGCUUCCCCUGUCUGAGGCUUCACCUCCCACAGGAUUAAGUGUGACCCCCUGGGUCUCACACCCAGCUGGGUCCUGCUGGAGGGUGGUCCGGAUGCCCAUAGUGGACGGAGGCCAGCCCUGCCCCACACCCGCCGGGCCUUCUGUUCACUGCUGCGGAAUGGGGUCCUGCCGUCCACCCAGGCCUGCUCGGCACCUGAAGGUGCCCUGCUGAGCAGGAGGUAAAGCCGAUCCCACUCCGAGGUUUGAUGCCGCUUCCCACGAGCCGUCACUCCAGCACCCCUGACUCACCACCUAGUCACCAGGUAGAGGGCCUCUGGAGAACUCUGAGCCCAGCAAGCCGCCCACCACCCACGUGUCAAUCUGGGCCUCAGGAGGGUAAGGAACUGGGGUUCUGUAGAAAGUCGCUGACAUCAGACUGGGUUCCAAGGCUCACUCUCUCCAGCCAAGGGACACUGAGGGAGCUGGGCCCACUCUGAACCUCUGUCUCCUUUUCUCCACAAUAAGCUCCUAAUGCCUCAGCCUCAGAGCUAGAGCAGGAGCGGCCACAGCAUGGAGCAGGCACUGUGAGUGCACCCAGGUCUAGGGGCCUCCUCUGCAGAGGGCGGUGCACAGCCCCCCACAGGCUGGCCAGGAAAGUGGGUCAGGAGGCCCCCAGCCCCCGAGGGUUGACAGCAAGUCCUAGCAGAUGGAGACUAAUUAGGGCUUAAUGAGUUGUCACGCAUGAGAACCCCGGGAGGGCCCAGAUCUAGGACAGAGGCUGCACCAGUCCUGGGGGCCAGUAGUGUGUCCCCAAAAGAGGACCUGGGAGAGCAGAGCCAUUGGGCGGGGCCCAGCUCCCACGUCUGUGGGUGUUUCCAGGCCACAGGCUGCCAGGAGCCUGGGGACAGAGGGCAGCUGCUGGCCCCCGAGCUGUCCCCACCCAGUACAGCCUUUCCUAGGACCGCUUCAGUGUUCCCUGGCCUGGGAAGGACAGGCGGUAGGACGUGUCCCCAGUAAUCACGGGGUUCAGGGGACGGAGCUCUGCUCAGAAGAGGAGGUGGGCCGGAGGGGCUGGGGUUGCCGAGGGCAGGGGGCUGACCCUGGACCCUGGGGUGCCCACCUCUCCUUGGGUUAAGGGUCAGCUACAAGUGAGUCCCCGGACAGUGGGGGCUAGGGAGGAGCCCACCGUGGGGACAGCUCAGGAGUCCCCAGGCAGGUCCCCGCACUGAGCCGAUCCCUUCUGCCUUCUCAAGCCCGGGAGGUGGGUGCAGGGCUCUGCCGAGGCCAGGUCCCACCUCCCCUUCAAAGACCCCUACCUGAGUGAGUGUCCCCGCCUCCUGGGCUGAAGGUGGGCAGAGGCAGCGUCCCCCAGAAGACAGGGACCCUGUCCUGGAGAGCCGGGGUGGGCCCGGCAACAGCUUCUCCCUGCUGGGUGGCCCUGGGCACCCCACUUGCCCUCUCUGGUCUCUGCUGAUCUCCCCAGUUUCCCGCUGCUCCGCCUGCACCCUGCGCUGCAGGGCUCUCCCUGCGACACUCUGACCCAGGGGAUGUGGGACAGUGUCCAGAGCUGUGUGGUCAUCUUCACUGGGCGUCCUGGUCUGAGGCGGUCACAGCCCCACUCGGCAGGGCCCCGGGCCACCACAGGGCAGACUGGCUGCAGCAGGGGCUGUGGCCUG
Molecule: long non-coding RNA, 2281 nt
Filed under: Marmota monax (woodchuck)
Lineage: Eukaryota; Metazoa; Chordata; Mammalia; Rodentia; Sciuridae
Source: RNAcentral